Molecule: transfer RNA, 74 nt
Filed under: Candidatus Uhrbacteria bacterium CG_4_9_14_3_um_filter_41_35
Lineage: Bacteria; Candidatus Uhriibacteriota
Also listed under: 1 other name
Description: tRNA-Gln
Rfam family: tRNA
About the family: Transfer RNA (tRNA) molecules are approximately 80 nucleotides in length. Their secondary structure includes four short double-helical elements and three loops (D, anti-codon, and T loops).
Source: RNAcentral
UCCCGGAUCGUCUAAAGGCAGGACGUCUGGUUUUGGUCCAGAUAAUCGGGGUUCGAAUCCCUGUCCGGGAACCA